ACUCCUACGGGAGGCAGCAGUGGGGAAUCUUCCGCAAUGGGCGAAAGCCUGACGGAGCAACGCCGCGUGAGUGAUGACGGCCUUCGGGUUGUAAAACUCUGUGAUCCGGGACGAAAAGGCAGAGUGCGAAGAACAAACUGCAUGACGGUACCGAAA
RNAcentral lists this ribosomal RNA (156 nucleotides) under uncultured Dialister sp. RNAcentral's name for it is "partial 16S ribosomal RNA". It matches the Rfam family "Bacterial small subunit ribosomal RNA", at positions 335 to 483 of the family's 1533-position model. Lineage: Bacteria; Bacillati; Bacillota; Negativicutes; Veillonellales; Veillonellaceae. The record is from RNAcentral.